RNAcentral lists this long non-coding RNA (2345 nucleotides) under Vigna radiata. Its description in RNAcentral is "long non-coding RNA (VRAD_LNC014045)". Lineage: Eukaryota; Viridiplantae; Streptophyta; Magnoliopsida; Fabales; Fabaceae. The record is from RNAcentral.
GGGUGAGUAACUAAGGACAUAACAUAGCAUAUAAUUUCAAUGUCAAAACAUCAUAACAUAGAUUAUUCUAGUCAUAAAAUUACAAUACUACACGGUAUUUGAAACAAUAACUCAGAUCAUUCUCACAAGCUUUUCUUGUUUCCUUGAAUUUUGUCGUACCAAACCUGUUUCGCAAAACAGGAUUAUUCGAGCGGCCUUCCAUCGCAACUUCAGGCCUAUCUCCCCGACUCCUCAAGGAAUUACGAGUAAAAACUUCGGUUAGGCGCACCUACCGAGCACUAUACUCACACGAGCCAAAGUCAUUGGGCGAGACAUCCAACCCUCUCUAGUCCUCGCGCACGAGGAUAGGGUGAGACUCGAAUCUUGACCUCCGCAGAGAACUGUACACAUUAUCGUAUCGCAAUACGAACACCAUCAUCGGUUCGACAAAUAUUCUAAGAAAAUGACAGAACACUUGCUCUCACAACUUCACCAUCACAACCAUACACAGAUCACCAUCAUAUACAAAGCCAACCUAAAUCAUUGACCAACGAUUAAUAAAAAAAAACACAAAUAAUUAAAUAACAUAAUUUAAUUAUUAUUAUUUUUUUUCUUCUACUAAUGCACCCCCUGAAAUUACUAAUUUCACACUUCCAGGAACUAGAACAACAUUUCUAGUACACCCCCACUUUUUACUAAAUUUCCAACACUAAAGAAAAUGCAUAAAUUCCUAUACACCCCUUUUUACUCUAAACACACUCCCUUCUACACCUACCUUUUUCAAGUGGGCCCCAAAAUCAUUAAAUUACAUUUUCUCUUACUUCCAAGGUAGGUCUCACUUUAAGUCACUCAUUUCUCAUCUAAAACACUUUCUUCCUUCACUCACGUAAAAGUCAAAUAAAAAGGCCAACUUUAUGAGAUAACCACUCUCCUUUCAUUUCUUUCACCCAAAACCGUGGACCCCACUUUAAAUUCACCACUUUUUACUCUCUUUUACUAAGCUAAAAGUUGCAACUUCUCUCCCCUCCACAUAUCAUUUACGUAGGACUCUCUUUGCCAUUCACACACUCAUUAUUCAUUUCACACUUCUCUCUCUCUCUUAAAUUCAAUGCUCACGGCCCCACAGUUCUCCUGCACCUUCUUUCAUUUUGAUUUUCUCACUUCACUCUAACUAAGACACAAUUCACACCUAUACUCUUUUCUCUCUUUCAUUUAUUAUUCACACUCUUCACUCACUACAAUUUACAUAUAUUCCCAUGCAUGCACCUUCCUCAACUCUCUCCCUCUCUAUUUUUUUUUCCAACGCCCUACACCCACAUCAUACACACUUCUAAAUUCACUCCUUACUUCCCUUUGACUUUUCAAUGCCCACUUUAACUCUCACUUUUCUCACCCUCACUUACGUCAAUCUUCUACCCCUACUUUCUUCUAAUCUCUUUCCACUACAACAACCCAAACCCCUUUUUUUUUCAUGCAACCCCAUGCACCAGUGCCCAUCUUACGUGAGACCCCAAAACCCAACUCUCUUUUUAUUCCAACCAAACCUAAGGUAUCACUGUUAUCAUUUUUCUUGGUUCCAACUCUCUCACCCUUCUCUUCCAUACAAGGAAAAGGAACUCUCAAGCCUCACACCCACCACACUCUUUAUUAGGGAGUGUAUGAAUGUGCGCCAAGUUUACCAUUUACAAAUUAAACGAAGGAAAAUAAGUCAUUUCAGAUAAUGUUUUCAUCAUAAGAAAGUGAAUAACCAUAUAUUCUCAACAUCCAAAAUGAAACCAAAAUAUCCAUGUACAACAAUCCCAAAUUUUCGAAACAUGCAUGGUAAAUAAUAACACCCACCCAACACAUAUAGAAACACAAGUAUUACAAGGAACAUAUAAGCACUAAUAUUUAACAAAAACACCCACCCAUCAUACACCAUUUUAUAAUCCAAAGUUAUACCCCUUACCUCUUAUUUCCAAAAGUUUCAAGACUUCUAAGGUUCCCAAGCAAUGACUGAAAAUGACUUCACUCCUCUUGUUGCACCAAACGUCACUUCACACCCCUUGGUUCCUCUCCAACUCACAGUCCUAGAGCCGAAGACAAAAUGGUGGCUAACCACUCUCUCACAGAUGCACACGGUGGAAAACAGAGGGUUUCAUUCAAUUUCCUUCCACGAUUUCUCUUUGGUGUCCCCCUUCUUAUGCCUCUAUAUUACAACUUAAAUAUUUAUUAACCCUAUCAUCUACCCAAGCUUGCCUCAUCCACUUAGUUUGCCCAAAAAUUCCUUUGCUAGAACUAACCUUGGGUUACCCUUCCUUAACUCUCUAUCAACUCUAGAAAUAGCCAUACUUUAAUGGGUAUAAUUGAUGGUCUUUAAGGAUAAU